GCGGAGGGAUCAUUGCUGGAACGCGCCCCAGGCGCACCCAGAAACCCUUUGUGAACUUAUACCUUACUGUUGCCUCGGCGCAGGCCGGCCCCCUUGGGGGCCCCCCGGAGACGGGGAGCAGCCCGCCGGCGGCCAAGCUAACUCUUGUUUUUACACUGAAACUCUGAGAAAUAAACAUAAAUGAAUCAAAACUUUCAACAACGGAUCUCUUGGUUCUGGCAUCGAUGAAGAACGCAGCGAAAUGCGAUAAGUAAUGUGAAUUGCAGAAUUCAGUGAAUCAUCGAAUCUUUGAACGCACAUUGCGCCCUCUGGUAUUCCGGAGGGCAUGCCUGUUCGAGCGUCAUUUCAACCCUCAAGCCUGGCUUGGUGUUGGGGCACUGCCUGUAAAAGGGCAGGCCCUGAAAUUCAUUGGCGAGCUCGCCAGGACCCCGAGCGCAGUAGUUAAACCCUCGCUUUGGAAGGCCCUGGCGGUGCCCUGCCGUUAAACCCCCAACUUCUGAAAAUUUGACCUCGGAUCAGGUAGGAAUACCCGCUGAACUUAAGCAUAUCAAUAAGCGGAGGAAAAGAAACCAACAGGGAUUGCCCUAGUAACGGCGAGUGAAGCGGCAACAGCUCAAAUUUGAAAUCUGGCUUCGGCCCGAGUUGUAAUUUGCAGAGGAUGCUU
This 664-nucleotide ribosomal RNA is filed under the name Ascomycota sp. MS-425. Its description in RNAcentral is "eukaryotic LSU rRNA". The stretch from base 190 to 343 matches the Rfam family "5.8S ribosomal RNA". The record is from RNAcentral. Lineage: Eukaryota; Fungi; Ascomycota.